This 1140-nucleotide long non-coding RNA is filed under the name Monodelphis domestica (gray short-tailed opossum). Its description in RNAcentral is "lncRNA (ENSMODG00000030063.2)". The record is from RNAcentral. Lineage: Eukaryota; Metazoa; Chordata; Mammalia; Didelphimorphia; Didelphidae.
AGGUUAAGUGACUUCUCAGGCUGAUGCAGCCAAUAUGUGGCAAAAGCAGGAUGUAAAUCCAGGUCUUCUUGACUCCAAGGCCAGUUCUUUAUCCACUGUUCCAGACUGAUUCUCCCAUCAUUACUAGUCAUAAACUACAAAAUAUUACAAAAUAGCAACCCAAGAACCACAUGGUUUAAACCUUCUAUAAACACCAAGAAAACUACUUAUCCUGACAUCUUUAUCCAAUGACCAAUAAGUUGACACACUACUAGAGUAAUAGCACUGAUGUGCUAAGUAUAAAUGAAACCAAAAGACAAAAUCAAGUGAUGGUUUAAUAGAAAAAAUGGUGCACCCAUUCUCUCUUGAGAGAAUGACUUCCACAAUAACACCAAGUCACUUCCUGUCUGGUAAAGUAGAAACAAUUUCAUUUUUUUAUGACAUUGUCUUGUGUUCAUCCUGAUUGUUUUCACCAGGAAAGUACUUCAUAUGCAAAGGUUUGAGACUUCUGGGUCUUCUAUAACCUUUGACUUUUUUCUUACUCCUGAGCCAGAUUUCCUAACAUGCUCCUUGCCUAACUCAAUAUUGAAGUCUCUGAGUAUCUAAGUGCAUGUUGAUUUAAUUGGAAGGAUGUCAUCUAUUUCUUCAUAGAAUUUCUCUCCCAUUUUAUCCAAUAGUCCAGUCUGUAAGUCACAGUUUUUCCCCAUGGUGAUCUUUUUGCAAAUUACCAAACUUCUCAACUCUGCCAAUUUCUUCAAUUUUUCUCUUUUAGGAGAGUGAGCAGAUAUGUCUACUUUCUUUAGAUCUAUAUCACAUUUUUAGGGGACUAACCCUUGAAAACAUUGAAAGCAUCCUUGAAGGAGGUAUUAAAGAGAACAGAGAAAAAUACCAUCUUUAUAGACUGUCCACCAAAAUGAUGUCUGCCCUAUGUGUGAGAAAAUUAUCAGAGAGUCCUGGAAAGAUACAAUAACAGAGAAAACAGAGUUUAAUGUCAUCUGGUCAGAUACUAUGUAGAGGAAGGGGAGUAGAGGAGAAGGUUGGACAUUUUCCAAGAACAGAGGAGAAAUCCCAGGGUCUCCUCCUGUAUAUAUUAUAUUCAGGUACAGAAUGGUCCAAUGUGCUAGAAAUUUGGCAUUAAAAAUGAAGAGUUCAUAACUCCAU